This 68-nucleotide transfer RNA is filed under the name Loxodonta africana (African savanna elephant). It matches the Rfam family "tRNA". Rfam says of the family: Transfer RNA (tRNA) molecules are approximately 80 nucleotides in length. The record is from Rfam by way of RNAcentral. Lineage: Eukaryota; Metazoa; Chordata; Mammalia; Proboscidea; Elephantidae.
GCCUGAUUGGCACAGUGGUUAAGUGCUCAGCUGAUAACUGAAAGGUCAGUGGUUCAAACCCACUGGCU